This 77-nucleotide transfer RNA is filed under the name Oscillospiraceae bacterium. RNAcentral's name for it is "tRNA-Val". It matches the Rfam family "tRNA". Rfam says of the family: Transfer RNA (tRNA) molecules are approximately 80 nucleotides in length. Their secondary structure includes four short double-helical elements and three loops (D, anti-codon, and T loops). Further hydrogen bonds mediate the characteristic L-shaped molecular structure. tRNAs have two regions of fundamental functional importance: the anti-codon, which is responsible for specific mRNA codon recognition, and the 3' end, to which the tRNAs corresponding amino acid is attached (by aminoacyl-tRNA synthetases). tRNAs cope with the degeneracy of the genetic code in two manners: having more than one tRNA (with a specific anti-codon) for a particular amino acid; and 'wobble' base-pairing, i.e. permitting non-standard base-pairing at the 3rd anti-codon position. The record is from RNAcentral. Lineage: Bacteria; Bacillati; Bacillota; Clostridia; Eubacteriales; Oscillospiraceae.
AGUGCGGUAGUUUAGCGGUAAAACUGUAUCUCCCCCACAAGAUAUAUAAGACGGCGGUUCGAGUCCGCCCCGCACUU